GCUAUAAAAUUCUGAGACUAAAUAUCAAAUUAAAGAAAGUACUAAUUGUCAGCGAUGGGGGAUGUACUGCUAUUUGCUUCUAGUGGUACUCACUGCUCAUUUCCUAUAUUCACUGGUAUAAAAAAAUUUCAAACACCCUCAAAAAAGCCUAUACUGGUGGUACCAGGAAAACGCUGAAAAUCAUUACUUUCUGUGUGGUGUCCAGCUCUUUUGGUUACAUCAUCACUUCGACCAUUCACUUUUAAAGAAAAACUUUUGUGGAACAAAAAUAUAAAGAUUUAUUUUUUUUCUUGGUGGCUUAGCACAGUGGCCUAAUGUGGCUGACCAUGUGCACCUGUUGUGUGAGUCACUUAGACGUGCUUUGUUUCUUGGUCACAGUUGAUCCCUCAACUCAAGCAUCUCACCCUCAAAAUGUUUGUUUGGGACCCAAGAGGCAAACCUUGAGAUGGGUUAUUUCUUUCACCUUGGAUUGGCUCAUCUGCUGGGAGUGGAGCCAAGCUGACAUUUCCUUUCCUUUUUGUCUGCCUAUCACUACGUAGAGGCAGCACAUAAGAGAGGGAAAGCCAUGCGCGUGGAGUCCAGCACAUCACCCAGAAGGCAGAUGUUCUAUCUCCAUUUUACUCAUUAAAACAAACAAAACCACACCUGGAUUGCCUGGUACUUAAAUAAAAUGCACUAUGAUGAUUGAAGAAAAAUA
Molecule: long non-coding RNA, 697 nt
Filed under: Homo sapiens (human)
Lineage: Eukaryota; Metazoa; Chordata; Mammalia; Primates; Hominidae
Description: PRKCQ antisense RNA 1
Source: RNAcentral